CCGAUGGAGGGGGAUAACUACUGGAAACGGUAGCUAAUACCGCAUAACGUCGCAAGACCAAAGAGGGGGCCUUCGGGCCUCUUGCCAUCGGAUGUGCCCAGAUGGGAUUAGCUAGUAGGUGGGGUAACGGCUCACCUAGGCGACGAUCCCUAGCUGGUCUGAGAGGAUGACCAGCCACACUGGAACUGAGACACGGUCCAG
This 201-nucleotide ribosomal RNA is filed under the name uncultured bacterium. RNAcentral's name for it is "partial 16S ribosomal RNA". It matches the Rfam family "Bacterial small subunit ribosomal RNA", at positions 130 to 334 of the family's 1533-position model. The record is from RNAcentral.